GGAGGACGGACGGACAGACGGCUGGCCGCGCCAUCUGCUCGCCGGAGCUCACUCU
Molecule: microRNA precursor, 55 nt
Filed under: Homo sapiens (human)
Lineage: Eukaryota; Metazoa; Chordata; Mammalia; Primates; Hominidae
Description: miAB35_pre
Source: RNAcentral